RNAcentral lists this ribosomal RNA (253 nucleotides) under uncultured bacterium. RNAcentral's name for it is "partial 16S ribosomal RNA". It matches the Rfam family "Bacterial small subunit ribosomal RNA", at positions 524 to 776 of the family's 1533-position model. The record is from RNAcentral.
UACGUAGGGGGCAAGCGUUGUCCGGAUUUACUGGGUGUAAAGGGAGCGUAGACGGUGAUGCAAGUCAGAAGUGAAAGCCCGCGGCUCAACUGCGGGACUGCUUUUGAAACUGUAUGACUAGAGUGCAGGAGAGGUAAGCGGAAUUCCUAGUGUAGCGGUGAAAUGCGUAGAUAUUAGGAGGAACACCAGUGGCGAAGGCGGCUUACUGGACUGUAACUGACGUUGAGGCUCGAAAGCGUGGGGAGCAAACAGG